AACGCACAUUGCGCCCUCCGGUAUUCCGGAGGGCAUGCCUGCUCGAGCGUCAUUUAAAACCCCAAGCUUCGCUUGGUCUUGGGUGCCUGGUUCUGACGACCCACCUAGAACUCGUACCGGCGGUACCGACCGGCUUCAAGCGUAGCAAACCUCUCGCUUCCGAAGCCAGGGCGGCGCCUGCCGACCAACGUGAUCUCAAGUUUGACCUCGGAUCAGGUAGGGAUACCCGCUGAACUUAA
RNAcentral lists this unclassified non-coding RNA (239 nucleotides) under uncultured fungus. RNAcentral describes it as "partial contains 5.8S ribosomal RNA, internal transcribed spacer 2, and large subunit ribosomal RNA". The stretch from base 1 to 52 matches the Rfam family "5.8S ribosomal RNA", at positions 103 to 154 of the family's 154-position model. Lineage: Eukaryota; Fungi. The record is from RNAcentral.